UACGUAGGGUGCGAGCGUUAAUCGGAAUUACUGGGCGUAAAGGGCGCGUAGGCGGCCUUCUAAGUCGAACGUGAAAUCCCCGGGCUCAACCUGGGAACUGCAUUUGUGACUGCAUCGCUGGAGUGCGGCAGAGGGGGAUGGAAUUCCGCGUGUAGCAGUGAAAUGCGUAGAUAUGCGGAGGAACACCGAUGGCGAAGGCAAUCCCCUGGGCCUGCACUGACGCUCAUGCACGAAAGCGUGGGGAGCAAACAGG
This 253-nucleotide ribosomal RNA is filed under the name uncultured bacterium. RNAcentral describes it as "partial 16S ribosomal RNA". It matches the Rfam family "Bacterial small subunit ribosomal RNA", at positions 524 to 776 of the family's 1533-position model. The record is from RNAcentral.